Molecule: transfer RNA, 70 nt
Filed under: Neolaxta sp. B107
Lineage: Eukaryota; Metazoa; Arthropoda; Insecta; Blattodea; Blaberidae
Description: tRNA-Tyr
Rfam family: tRNA
About the family: Transfer RNA (tRNA) molecules are approximately 80 nucleotides in length. Their secondary structure includes four short double-helical elements and three loops (D, anti-codon, and T loops).
Source: RNAcentral
AGUAGGAUGGCUGAGGUUAUAAGGUAAAAGAUUGUAAAUCUUUUAAGGAGUUGGUUAAACUCUUCUACUA